This is a long non-coding RNA of Aethalodelphis obliquidens (Pacific white-sided dolphin), 3988 nucleotides long. RefSeq lists it as uncharacterized. NCBI's taxonomy places the organism in Eukaryota, Metazoa, Chordata, Mammalia, Artiodactyla, Delphinidae. The record is from RefSeq and is a predicted model, not a curated record. The transcript is spliced from 4 exons.
AGCCGCUGUGCAUUUUCCACCAGGAGCUCUUCAGAGGACUUGCUUCUUGCCAAGGAGGCCUUUACUCUUGGGAGUUGACAGGAGGAAAGCAGUUAACAUUAUACCAGAUUCUUGGAGGAUAAAAAACAUUAAAAGGAGUAUCCAAAAGAAGGAAUUAUAUUCCCCCUUCCAAGCCCUCCCUUUGGGUCUCGAGAAAGAAGACAGCAACUUCCCUUCAAAGCCAUUUCCCACCUGGAGAUGAUGCGGAGCUGGCUGCUCAUUGUCUGAAUCUGCUCUACCAUGUACAGAAGCUCCUGGGAACAUCUUUGGUCUACACAGUUCUUAGCAAUGAUGCGGAUAAGUCUGGCGAAGUUUUGUCCGGAAGUCGCAAUUUUCCUGGCAGAGUGAGAAAAACAGCAGCUUCUGCCAACCAGAAGUGGGCGAGACCAUGUUAUUCUUCUUUGGACCCUAAAUGAGGCCUCCGCUAAGCCUUUUCCAGACUCUGGAAUCGAGACCAGGUGUACUGCCCUUGAAGGUAAACCCAAUAACAAAGUGUCAAGAGUGGCCUUGAUCAUCUCUUGGCCUCACGCACCAGAUCCUGAGCUCCUGGGGGUAGGGCCUGUGCCCUGGGUGCAGGUGGGAAGGAGAACAUGGGUGGGAGGAACCUCUGGGCCUUCCUACACCCUGACUUCUCCCCCAAGACCCCAACGUAGCAUACUGAUGUCUCAGAAGGGUCAUAACGUAGCUGUUGGAAGUAUGAGUGUGAUAGCAAAUUCUAUCUAAAUUGGGAGAUAUAAGUUCACGAUCCUGUUUGGUCUGAGGCUAUAUAUGUAGCAAAUAUUUCACCAGGAGAGGAAUGGAAAUCAAAGGAUAACUGCUCCAGGCAUGUGUCCCUUCCACCCCCACCUUGUUGGCCACUGUCCAGUCUUUGUCAUGCUUCACUCACUGCCGAGCACGCAGGAAGGGUGCUGGGCUAAAGAUGUGGAAUCAGGAGACCAAUGAUCCAAGGAAGGGGUUGGAUGAAUCACAUCAUUUGGCUGUAGCUCUAGAGCUCAGGUGGGUGUUUAAGCGAGCGGUUGCCAAGUGACAGACAAGGGGACGGGACGUAUGUGAGUCUGGGACCAGGAGACCGUGGAGGCUGGGAUCUAAGUGAGCUGCCCUGGGGUGUGGGUGCUCCACAUCGUGGUGCUUGGCCCCAAGCUUGGCCCAGGAGCAAGCAGAGGCCACAGCCGCCAAGCGUGUGGGGAAAGCCCUGAUCAUGUGGGUCUGACUCAGAAGUUGUCCAGAUGCCGAGAACAGCAACCAGCCAGGUGGGUGGCUGGAGGUGGAACAGGGCAUCCAUAGUGAAGGCUUAACUGCAGGCUGUUUUCCUCUCCAGCCAUAAAGUAUUCACUUCCAUGUUGGGAGCACAUCUGAGCACAGGUAUGCGCCCCCCGGGCUCGUAGCCACUUGCAAACCAAGUUCACUUCAGAGCUCCUAUUGCCUGCAAUGUCCUUCCUCUCUUCCCUGGCAAAUACAAAUCCCAAACUGCCUCUGAAGCUCAACUCAAGACCACCCUCCUCUCAGGAGACAUCUAGAAUAUCUGCUUUAUCCCUCCCAUUACCAUUUUGCCCCAAAUUUGUACCCCUUCUGCCCUUCUAGGCUGCCUUUAGCAUCCCAGCAAGCAAUCUAAAUCACUUACCAUGCACCUGCGAUGCCCCAGACACCGUGCUUGUCCUGAAGGAUCUAAAGAUGAGUAAAAUGAAGUCCUUGAACUUCAGCGGCUGAGAGUUUAGACUUUCUGUGCUAGUGCAUAUUGAGAAGUCACCUGGCUUUUUUUGUAUUAUGUCUGCAAUUAAAUAAUCCCCCACCUUCUGAAAACUGUUUGUUGGCCUCGUUUUAGACAGGUUGGGAUGCCCCCUGACUGCUGGGAGGGGCAAGUCGGAGCCUUUUCUGGCGAAGGACCAACACACUGAGGGCCAGCAGGCUGCCCAGACGGGGCCCGGGAUUAUAUGACGUGAAGAGAAAGGUGAGAACUCAACUGAGACUAAGACUCAACCAUAGUGACUAAAAAGGGUGAAAAUGGCAAAUGUGGGAUUUGGUGGGCCUUGAGCCAAGGGAUAGGCAACUAGGAAAUAUUCUUUUCAACUCAUGCCUCGUAUUCAACUGUCGGGGACCUUCAACAUCCAAAGCUAGCAGUGUCUCCAGGCUCUUCAGUAAUGAAGGAGGCUAGGACUCUGCUGGAGAGCCCAUAACUGGAAUAAAGAAUUUCCAGAUAGUGACUUACAAGUGCCCAAAAGAUGCACCUUCCCAAGGCCAUGCCCUCCCUCAGGGGCUCACAGUUUGAGGUGCUGUUCUGGGCUGUGUGGAGGGUGUCUCCACCCUCCCAGGAGCCCCAGGGAGUGGGACAGUGGAGCAGACACACACCAUGGAUGGUGAUUCUCCCCUCUCCAAUUGCCCUCCCACCCGGGAGUAGCCCAGCAGGACCACUGUCCCCACUGUCCCCUUCUAUGCACUGGAAUUAUGUGUAUGAAGGAGAAUGCUUCCCAGGGAUAGGAACCUUGGAAUGUGAGGCCUUGCUCUCCACCCAGAGGAAAGCAGCCUGCAACAGGAGAGGUGACACCCCUUCGCGGACAGGAGGGGUGAUGGGGGCUGAAUGAGCCUGCUCUUCUCACCAUUCCGGGUGCCAGCUGACCUGGGCAGUCAGUUCUCUGAAAUGCUCGUGUCGGGAGCUUUUGCUGAGAAAGGGACUGUGUCAGCUGAACUGAGAGAGAAACAGAAUGUGUUGUCAGGGAAGUCAGCGGCAUUAAGUAUGUGUCAGAAAGACCCUGUGGAAAAACAGAUCGGGGGAGCUGGCAGGAUGUCCGAACUCAUGAGACCAGGAGCCACAGAACAGGAGAGAUGAGAAGACAGCGGGAGGCAGAGCAAAGAGGGCUUAGGCUGCAGGGGCAAGGGAACUGUGCCUGCCGGGCUCCCAGCGAAUCUGGGAACAGGGCCUUUCUCAUGGUAAUAACAUUUUAAUGAGAAAGAUGAAGUAAAGGGUAAUGGGGCGGAGAAACACAUUGUCUGGUCCACUUUAUCUUGGGAGAAAGCCCAGGGAAAGGUUUGGGGGGGAAGUCUGGGCAGCCAAGCAUAAGGUCACGAAGGGGACAGAUCAGGUUAUGCACAAAACGCUGGGCUGAGCACAUCUACCUGGGAACUUCUUGGGCGGUCACUGCCAACCUAUUAUAUCUCCCACGGUCGAUGUUAAGUAAAUCAAAUGUUUGGGCUCCACAAUCCCUGACAUUGGCUGGUGCCCCAGAAGGAAACGACUAUACGUGGAAGGUGUUCAACAGACCCAGAAGCCUUCCGGUAGAUCUUUCUUUUUGCCUACGAGGAUUCAAGUUGGACUCCGGCCACUUGCAAACCAAAGAAACCCUGACUGGAGCAGGGAGGUAACAUCGUGGAGGUCAAGGUGGCAUGAAGUAGCCGGAUCCACAGGAGGAGUGCUGUCAGUCACAGCAAGGGGAACCCCCUCCAGAUGGGGCCGUGGGAAAAACUUCAGGGAAGUCAAUCAUUACAGGCCCUACCACAGCGUACUAAUUAUGUUCCAGGCAAGUGCAAGUAUUUUCCAUGGAUGCUUUCAUCAACCCUCUGCCAGGAAGGUAUCAAUGUUCCCAUUUUCUAGACUAGGAUCUUAAAGUCCAAAAUAGCUAAGAAACUUCUCUGAGGUCUCAGAACUUGGAAAUGGUAGAGGCAGACACAGUGCAGGCAGUGUGGUUCCUGACCUUGGAUUCUCAAAGGGUGCCCUGUGCUGCCUGCCAGAUAUGAAUGACACACGUGGGCACCAAGAGAGCUUUUUCUGGAACUUGACGGGGGGCUUUGGUGACCAGAAAGAAGGCUAAGGUGGGGGAGAAGGAGGGAUGCUGACUUUCCUACCGUGCCCAGGUCUGCGGCUGUCCCGGUGAUGCCUGGAUCCAGAGUGCGGGUCCCCACUGAGCUCCCUGCGGUGUCUCUUGGAGCAGCACGCUGAGAAUCUACACUGCUGGCU